CCUACGGGGGGCUGCAGUGAGGAAUAUUGGUCAAUGGUCGGGAGACUGAACCAGCCAAGCCGCGUGAGGGAUGAAGGUACAGAGUAUCGUAAACCUCUUUUGUCAGGGAACAAAGGCGGGGACGUGUCCCCGGCUGAGUGUACCUGACGAAAAAGCAUCGGCUAACUCCGUGCCAGCAGCCGCGGUAAUACGGAGGAUGCGAGCGUUAUCCGGAUUUAUUGGGUUUAAGGGGUGCGCAGGCGGUCUGUUAAGUCCGCGGUCAAAGCCCGGGGCUCAACCCCGGCCCGCCGUUGAAACUGGCAGUCUCGAGUUGGAGAGAAGUAUGCGGAAUGCGCGGUGGAGCGGUGAAAUGCAGAGAUAGCGCGCAGAACUCCGAUUGCGAAGGCAGCAUGCCGGCUCCACACUGACGCUGAGGCACGAAAGCGUGGGUAUCGAACAGGAUUAGAUACCCCAGUAGUC
Molecule: ribosomal RNA, 459 nt
Filed under: uncultured bacterium
Lineage: Bacteria
Description: partial 16S ribosomal RNA
Rfam family: Bacterial small subunit ribosomal RNA
Source: RNAcentral